GCCCGGAUGGUGGAACGGUAGACACGGCGGCCUCAAAAGCCGCUGCCCUUACGGGUGUGUGGGUUCGAAUCCCACUCCGGGUA
RNAcentral lists this transfer RNA (83 nucleotides) under Paraconexibacter antarcticus. RNAcentral describes it as "Paraconexibacter sp. 02-257 tRNA-Leu". It matches the Rfam family "tRNA". From Rfam's summary of the family: Transfer RNA (tRNA) molecules are approximately 80 nucleotides in length. The record is from RNAcentral. Lineage: Bacteria; Bacillati; Actinomycetota; Thermoleophilia; Solirubrobacterales; Paraconexibacteraceae.